GGUGGGAUGGCCGAGUGGUCGAUGGCGCACGCUUGGAAAGCGUGUAAUCUCGAAAGAGGUUCGAGGGUUCAAAUCCCUCUCCCACCGCCA
This 90-nucleotide transfer RNA is filed under the name Candidatus Peregrinibacteria bacterium CG10_big_fil_rev_8_21_14_0_10_49_10. Its description in RNAcentral is "tRNA-Ser". It matches the Rfam family "tRNA". Rfam says of the family: Transfer RNA (tRNA) molecules are approximately 80 nucleotides in length. The record is from RNAcentral. Lineage: Bacteria; Candidatus Peregrinibacteriota.